GUCUGGGCCUGGGGGCUGAGAGAUGACUCCAGUGCCCCCUCAAGUCUGUCAUUAAAAUGGGCGGAAGGAGCCAGCACAAGAAUUGUUCAGCUCUUCUGUCGGUUUCCGAGCAGGAUGUAAACCAGCGAGCGCCGCCGGGGAGGGAAUUUGUCACCGGGACAGCUCUUCCCUGCUUGCUCCGAUGACCACACGGAGGAGACAUGCUGCUGGUGCUGACCGACAAGACCCUGCUUUCCCAGGUUCUCCCCCUGCAACGUCCACCUUGUGACCUCUCCCCAGCACUGCUCCGGGGAUGAACGUGCAGGCAGGCUCUGUGGAGCAGGCGGUCUCCAGGCUCUCUUGAGAGGAUUCCAGAGCUCCCUGUGCCAGCCCAGCAGGAUGCAGAGGCAUCACAGCAACAGUGUUUCUAGGGGUGUUUUGGUGCUUCCAGUCCAGCCCCAAAGCAAGGGCAAAAGGUGGAGGAUGGUCCUAGCUGGCAGUUCAGGAGUUUUUGCACUUUCCUCUGAAGCAGCUGGGGCUGGCCCAUCAGAGAUGGGAUACCGGGCUAGAUGGGUUCCUGGUCUGAGUGGGUUUGGCAGUUCAUAACCUUGAGCACCAUAGUCCAGAGCAGAGAAGAUCCAGGGUCCAGGAGGCCCAGUGUCUCCACUCUGAGAGUGGCCAGUUACUGGCUGCUUCACAGAAGGUGCAAGAAACCCCCUAGCAGAGAACUGAGGUGUGGGACAGAGUUUCUUCCCGUGGCCCACUCCCCUCAACUCAUGUCGGUCUCAUGCCCUGGAGUGGGAGGGUUUGUAGCCUCCUAUCUUGUCAUGUGGCUUUCUCAUUCUCCAUAUAAACAUCCAGUCCUUUUUUACACUCCAGAUGAAUGCCUGGCCUCCAGGCUGUCUCGGGGCAGGGAGUUCUGCAGGUUAUUUAUGCAUCAUGUGACCCUCUGAUCAGCUGUAAAUGUGUUGCCUUUUGCUUUUGUCCAGUGUUCAUGAGAAAGACGGAUUGGGGACACCUGACUUACCUUCUCUGCACCCCAUAUUCUCUUGCUCCCCCUUCAUCCUGGCCUCCUUUCUAAACACUCCUAACCUUGUCAACCUCUCCUGACCUCUAAUCAUUUCCCAUCCCCGUCCCUGGACCCCUUCUCUGUCUGCUCUAUAUUUUGGAGAUGGGGUGGGCAGAACACCUUAGUCCAGUAACAUCUGCAGUAUUAUAUCCCAGCCCACUGUAAAACCUGUUUGUCUGACCACCCGCGGUGGCGCACCGAGCCCUAGAGUCAGAGAUUCCAAGGCCAGAAGGGCCAACUGUGACCUCCUGCAAAAUACAGCCCAUGGACCUGCCCCCAAAGAAUCCCCAGAGCAGAGCUUUAAGAAAAACAGCCAAUUUUGAUUGCAAAACGGUCAGUGAUGGAGAACGCACCACGACCCUGAUAAAUCGUUCCAGUGGCUAAUUACUCUCCUCAUUACAAAUUUACCUUAUCUCCAGUCUGAAUUUGCCUAGCUUCAACUUCCAGCCACUGGAUCGUGUUCAGACUGUUCUCGGCUAGACUGCAGAGCCCAGUAUUAAAUAUUGUUCCCCACGUAGGCACCUAUAGGCACUGCUUUGUUAAGCUAAAUAGAUCGAGCUCCUGGAGUUUCUCACUAUAAGGCAGGUUUUCUAACCCUUUAAUCAUUCUCGUGGCUCUUCUCUGAACCUUCCAAUUGAUCAACAGCCUCCAUGAGUUGUGGGCACCAGAACUGGACACAGGAUUCCAGAAAUGGUGGCACCAGGGCCAAAGACAGAGGUCAAAUAACCUCUCUACUCCUACGUGAGAUUCCCCUGUUUAUUGCAUCCCAGGGUGGUAUUGGUUCUUUUGGCCCCAGAGUGUCACACUGGGAGCUCAUGUUCAGCUGAUUAUCCAGCACCACCCCCCUUCGCCUAGUAUAAGUUCGUCAACUCCGGGCUUGUCCCAGUGUAAUGAGAUCGGUUAAAAAUCCUCUCCCAACAGUGUCCCCACCUGUGAAAUGGGGGCGGUGAUCCCACCUCCUGUGUAACGUGCGUGCGAGUUACGGAUGACAAGCACUUGGCAGGAGCAGGGGCUGUUGUGAACUGAGACCGCUGUACCGGUACAAAGGCUGUGUGCCGCACAGGCUGUUAUUCACACUGGCAGCUGCCUUCUGAUUCCUAACAAAAUGCCUAAGGCUAACAUUUCCCAGGUAAUGAGUGAUUUGGGGCUACCUGAUAGGAUUUCCAGCGCAGGUGCUCAGCACUGGCUGAUGCUCAGCACCUUGAAGGUGUCUCAGGUUGGGCUCCCACAGACUGAGUCCCCCCCCAAAAUCACUCAUCACUUUGACAGACCUGGCCUGAGGCACUGAAAUACUGGAAUUCGCUCCCCACCACAAGCCUUGCCCAGACACUGACCAGGCCUCUCUCUUCAGCUUCACAUCAAACUCCAGAUUCCUCACUCAGCGAGCUCUGAACCAUUAUAAGACAGCAGCAUUUGUGGGGCAGGCCUGCCCUUGCCCUGGACCUUCUGCUCCCAUUUACCCCAGGGCAAAGUGUUUUCUGAUUUGGGAGUUGGGGUGAGUUCAGAAAUCUGUCUUCCUCCUCUUUACCUUUGCUCCCCUCACUAUGGGGUCGGCUCUUUGAGGCCUUCUUCUCCAUUCCUGUAUGUCUUGAAGCAAUUCCUCGGAAACUCUGCAGCUGCAUAACAUCCAUCCAUCUAGUUUUGGGUCUUCCAACCCUUCUCUGACCAUUCACUUCUUCUGAAGAAGAGCUCUGUGUAAGCUCGAAAGCUGGUCUCUCUCACCAACAGAAGUUGGUCCAAUAAAGCUAUUACCUCAGCCACCAUGUCUCUCUAACAACCACUUCUAAGUUUAAUGGCCUGUUUCUGAUAUAUUUUUCCACUUGUCUGUUCACAUGCCCAAUUUCAGAUUUCAGAAAGCUGUGCCACAGAGAUCUGGUUGCUAUUAGGAAGGUUUGACAUUGCUGGAUCAUGGAAAGCCUCUGACUCAAUGUUUAUCCACCAGACCUGCACCCCCCAACUCAGGGCCUGAGGAGAAUGGGAAGUGCUUAACUUUAAUGACUAUCAGUACGCUCAAGGGGUUUGCUUAUGCAGGGAAAAGAUACUUCCUCCUCUGUCUGAAAGGACUUUGGGGGCUGGGGGGGGGUGGUGGAAAGUUACAAAAACAGGGCAAAGACACAGGUGUCCCCUUGUUUAUCCUCCCCCCCCCCCCCCCCGACGUUCUU
Molecule: long non-coding RNA, 3210 nt
Organism: Chelonia mydas (Green sea turtle)
Lineage: Eukaryota; Metazoa; Chordata; Testudines; Cheloniidae
Exons: 3
Source: RefSeq, a predicted model, not a curated record